Molecule: ribosomal RNA, 904 nt
Filed under: uncultured bacterium
Lineage: Bacteria
Description: bacterial SSU rRNA
Rfam family: Bacterial small subunit ribosomal RNA
Source: RNAcentral
CGGCUAACUACGUGCCAGCAGCCGCGGUAAUACGUAUGGUGCAAGCGUUAUCCGGAUUUACUGGGCGUAAAGGGAGCGUAGACGGAUGGGCAAGUCUGAUGUGAAAACCCGGGGCUCAACCCCGGGACUGCAUUGGAAACUGUUCAUCUAGAGUGCUGGAGAGGUAAGUGGAAUUCCUAGUGUAGCGGUGAAAUGCGUAGAUAUUAGGAGGAACACCAGUGGCGAAGGCGGCUUACUGGACAGUAACUGACGUUGAGGCUCGAAAGUGUGGGUAUCAAACAGGAUUAGAUACCCUGGUAGUCCACACGGUAAACGAUGAAUACUCGCUGUUUGCGAUAUACGGCAAGCGGCCAAGCGAAAGCGUUAAGUAUUCCACCUGGGGAGUACGCCGGCAACGGUGAAACUCAAAGGAAUUGACGGGGGCCCGCACAAGCGGAGGAACAUGUGGUUUAAUUCGAUGAUACGCGAGGAACCUUACCCGGGCUUAAAUUGCACUCGAAUGAUCCGGAAACGGUUCAGCUAGCAAUAGCGAGUGUGAAGGUGCUGCAUGGUUGUCGUCAGCUCGUGCCGUGAGGUGUCGGCUUAAGUGCCAUAACGAGCGCAACCCUUAUUGUCAGUUACUAACAGGUGAUGCUGAGGACUCUGACAAGACUGCCAUCGUAAGAUGUGAGGAAGGUGGGGAUGACGUCAAAUCAGCACGGCCCUUACGUCCGGGGCUACACACGUGUUACAAUGGGGGGUACAGAGGGCCGCUACCACGCGAGUGGAUGCCAAUCCCUAAAACCCCUCUCAGUUCGGACUGGAGUCUGCAACCCGACUCCACGAAGCUGGAUUCGCUAGUAAUCGCGCAUCAGCCACGGCGCGGUGAAUACGUUCCCGGGCCUUGCACACACCGCCCGUCAAG